UUUCCGUAGGUGAACCUGCGGAAGGAUCAUUAAAAAUGUGUACCGAUGUUGUACUAAAUUAAUCAUCCUACCUUUGUGAAUUUGUUUGUAACGAAUUUUUUAAAUGGGUCUUUCCCUAAGUUGGAUUGUAGUAAAAUACAAAAAGACUUAGGGAAUGCUUUUUAAAAGACUUUUUUUAAAUUAAACUUUUGUAUUCAUUUGUCUAAAAUUUAUUUUUAAUAUAAAACAACUUUGACAAUGGAUCUCUUGGUUCUCGCAACGAUGAAGAACGCAGCAAAUGCGAUAAGUAUGUGAAUUGCAGAAUACGUGAAUCAUCGAAUCUUCGAACGCAUAUUGCACUUUUUAGUUUACUAAAAAGUAUGUCUGUUUGAGUAUCAGUAAAUAUUCUCACAAACAUUAUUGUUUGGUUAUGAGUGUUUACAACGAUAAACAGUGUUCACUUUAAAUUCUUUUAAUUGAAUUUUACCAAUUCAUAAAUUAAAAUUGGAUAAAAUUUCCUUUACCGAGGAAUAACCUAAACAAUUUUAAUUUUAUGGAUUAAUACAUUCACAAGGAAUCUAUACAAAUAACUCAUCUCAAUCGAUAAGAGUACCGCUGAACUUAAGCAUAUCAAUAAGCGGAGGAAAGAAACUAACAAGGAUCCUUAGUAACGGCGAGUGAGCGGGAAGAGCUCAAAUUUGAAAUCUUCAAGGUUUGACCUUGACGAAUUGUAGUUUAUAGAAGUGUUUUCUGUUGGAGUUUUGGUAAAAGUUCUUUGGAAUAGGACAUCAUAGAGGUGAGAAUCCCGUAUUUGACCAUGACUUCCAGCUGUGUGAUACACUUUCAAGAGUCGAUUGUUGGAAUGCAGUCCAAAUGGGUGGUAAUUCAUCUAAGCUAAUAUUGGCGAGAGACCGAUAGCGAACAAGUACCGUGAGGAAAGAUGAAAAGAACUUUGAAAAGAGAGUUAAACAGUACGUGAAAUGUCAAAGUGAAGCGUUUGACACCAGUGUUGUUUCUCGAAAUCAAUUUAAUGGUUUUGUUUUAAGUUAUUGUGACUUUAUCAGCGCAUUUCUUAUUUUACUUGCUCAUUGAAUGCACUUUUCGUUUAACAGUCAACAUCAAUUUCUUUGGUGGUAAAAAGUUUAAAGGAAGGUGCUUGGACUUCGGUUCAAGUGUUUAUAGCCUUUUUCUAUGCCAUCGGAGAGAUUGAGGUCUGCAGCGUAGAUCCUUCGGGUUAGAUACCUUUGUGCUAAGUUAUAGUUUUUAUAGACAACUUGUUGACUAUAAUAACCCUGUAAUUACUCGCUUAGGCUAUUUUACCUACGCUUAGGAUGUUG
RNAcentral lists this unclassified non-coding RNA (1316 nucleotides) under uncultured Neocallimastigales. RNAcentral describes it as "partial contains small subunit ribosomal RNA, internal transcribed spacer 1, 5.8S ribosomal RNA, internal transcribed spacer 2, and large subunit ribosomal RNA". The stretch from base 569 to 1316 matches the Rfam family "Eukaryotic large subunit ribosomal RNA", at positions 1 to 628 of the family's 3401-position model. The record is from RNAcentral. Lineage: Eukaryota; Fungi; Neocallimastigomycota; Neocallimastigomycetes; Neocallimastigales.